Molecule: long non-coding RNA, 724 nt
Filed under: Carica papaya (papaya)
Lineage: Eukaryota; Viridiplantae; Streptophyta; Magnoliopsida; Brassicales; Caricaceae
Description: long non-coding RNA (CPAP_LNC012674)
Source: RNAcentral
UCACAUGUAAAUCAUUCAAAUUAUAAUAAAAGAAAAAUUUCUCUUAAUUAUUUGUUCAUAUAUAAAUCACUAAAAUUAGAAUAAAAAUAAAAAAUUUCUAUAAAUGUUAAGCAUAACUACAAAUAGAGAAAGUGCUGAUACUGUCAUUAAUUGUGUAUACAUACAGAGUAUAUAAACAACUAUAUAACUUGGGAUAAUGCAUUAUGGGUCCCUCUUCGGCCAUAUAAAGGUGUUCAAAGAAGGUGGAGACCAUUAUCUGAAGUUGGCCUUCAUCGAUACUCCAAAUAAAAAAUGUCUUUAAAUGUUAAGCAUAUCUACAGAUAGAGAAAGUGCUAAUAUUGUUAUUAAUUGUGUAUGCAUAUUGAGUAUGUAGACAACUAUAUAAAUUGAUUCAUCUAAAUAUUAAUUACUUGCUCACAUGUAAAUCAUUCAAAUUAUAAUAAAAGAAAAUUUUCUCUUAAUUAUUUGUUCAUAUAUAAAUCACUAAAAUUAGAAUAAAAAUAAAAAAUUUCUACAAAUGUUAAGCAUAUCUACAAAUAGAGAAAGUGUUGAUAUUAUCAUUAAUUGUGUAUAUAUACAGAGUAUGUAGACAAUUAUAUAACUUGGGGUACUGCAGUAUGAGUCCUUUUUCGGUCGUAUAAAGGUGUUCAAAGAAGGUGGAGACCAUUAUCUGAAGUCGGCCUUCAUCAAUACUCCAAAUAAAAAAUAUCUUUAAAUGUUAAGC